CCUACGGGGUGCAGCAGUGGGGAAUAUUGGACAAUGGGCGAAAGCCUGAUCCAGCCAUGCCGCGUGUGUGAAGAAGGCCUUCGGGUUGUAAAGCACUUUCAGUGGGGAAGAAAGCCUUGGGGCUAAUACCCUCGAGGAAGGACAUCACCCACAGAAGAAGCACCGGCUAACUCCGUGCCAGCAGCCGCGGUAAUACGGAGGGUGCGAGCGUUAAUCGGAAUUACUGGGCGUAAAGCGCGCGUAGGCGGUCUGAUAAGCCGGUUGUGAAAGCCCCGGGCUCAACCUGGGAACGGCAUCCGGAACUGUCAGGCUAGAGUGCAGGAGAGGAAGGUAGAAUUCCCGGUGUAGCGGUGAAAUGCGUAGAGAUCGGGAGGAAUACCAGUGGCGAAGGCGGCCUUCUGGACUUACACUGACGCUGAGGUGCGAAAGCGUGGGUAGCAAACAGGAUUAGAUACCCUGGUAGUC
RNAcentral lists this ribosomal RNA (465 nucleotides) under Vreelandella stevensii. Its description in RNAcentral is "partial 16S ribosomal RNA". It matches the Rfam family "Bacterial small subunit ribosomal RNA", at positions 338 to 795 of the family's 1533-position model. The record is from RNAcentral. Lineage: Bacteria; Pseudomonadati; Pseudomonadota; Gammaproteobacteria; Oceanospirillales; Halomonadaceae.